GAGUAGGGCGGGACACGUGGUAUCCUGUCUGAAUAUGGGGGGACCAUCCUCCAAGGCUAAAUACUCCUGACUGACCGAUAGUGAACCAGUACCGUGAGGGAAAGGCGAAAAGAACCCCGGCGAGGGGAGUGAAAAAGAACCUGAAACCGUGUACGUACAAGCAGUGGGAGCACCUUCGGGUGUGACUGCGUACCUUUUGUAUAAUGGGUCAGCGACUUAUAUUCUGUAGCAAGGUUAACCGUAUAGGGGAGCCGCAGGGAAACCGAGUCUUAACUGGGCGUUAAGUUGCAGGGUAUAGACCCGAAACCCGGUGAUCUAGCCAUGGGCAGGUUGAAGGUUGGGUAACACUAACUGGAGGACCGAACCGACUAAUGUUGAAAAAUUAGCGGAUGACUUGUGGCUGGGGGUGAAAGGCCAAUCAAACCGGGAGAUAGCUGGUUCUCCCCGAAAGCUAUUUAGGUAGCGCCUCGUGAACUCAUCUUCGGGGGUAGAGCACUGUUUCGGCUAGGGGGUCAUCCCGACUUACCAACCCGAUGCAAACUACGAAUACCGAAGAAUGUUAUCACGGGAGACACACGGCGGGUGCUAACGUCCGUCGUGAAGAGGGAAACAACCCAGACCGCCAGCUAAGGUCCCAAAGUCAUGGUUAAGUGGGAAACGAUGUGGGAAGGCACAGACAGCCAGGAUGUUGGCUUAGAAGCAGCCAUCAUUUAAAGAAAGCGUAAUAGCUCACUGGUCGAGUCGGCCUGCGCGGAAGAUGUAACGGGGCUAAACCAUGCACCGAAGCUGCGGCAGCGACACUAUGUGUUGUUGGGUAGGGGAGCGUUCUGUAAGCCUGCGAAGGUGUGCUGUGAGGCAUGCUGGAGGUAUCAGAAGUGCGAAUGCUGACAUAAGUAACGAUAAAGCGGGUGAAAAGCCCGCUCGCCGGAAGACCAAGGGUUCCUGUCCAACGUUAAUCGGGGCAGGGUGAGUCGACCCCUAAGGCGAGGCCGAAAGGCGUAGUCGAUGGGAAACAGGUUAAUAUUCCUGUACUUGGUGUUACUGCGAAGGGGGGACGGAGAAGGCUAUGUUAGCCGGGCGACGGUUGUCCCGGUUUAAGCAUGUAGGCUGGUUGUCCAGGCAAAUCCGGAUAAUCAAGGCUGAGGUGUGAUGACGAGGCACUACGGUGCUGAAGUAACAAAUGCCCUGCUUCCAGGAAAAGCCUCUAAGCAUCAGGUAACAUCAAAUCGUACCCCAAACCGACACAGGUGGUCAGGUAGAGAAUACCAAGGCGCUUGAGAGAACUCGGGUGAAGGAACUAGGCAAAAUGGUGCCGUAACUUCGGGAGAAGGCACGCUGGUGUGUAGGUGAAGUCCCUGCGGAUGGAGCUGAGACCAGUCGAAGAUACCAGCUGGCUGCAACUGUUUAUUAAAAACACAGCACUGUGCAAACACGAAAGUGGACGUAUACGGUGUGACGCCUGCCCGGUGCCGGAAGGUUAAUUGAUGGGGUUAUCCGUAAGGAGAAGCUCUUGAUCGAAGCCCCGGUAAACGGCGGCCGUAACUAUAACGGUCCUAAGGUAGCGAAAUUCCUUGUCGGGUAAGUUCCGACCUGCACGAAUGGCGUAAUGAUGGCCAGGCUGUCUCCACCCGAGACUCAGUGAAAUUGAACUCGCUGUGAAGAUGCAGUGUACCCGCGGCAAGACGGAAAGACCCCGUGAACCUUUACUAUAGCUUGACACUGAACAUUGAGCCUUGAUGUGUAGGAUAGGUGGGAGGCUUUGAAGCGUGGACGCCAGUCUGCGUGGAGCCAACCUUGAAAUACCACCCUUUAAUGUUUGAUGUUCUAACGUUGGCCCCUGACCGGGGUUGCGGACAGUGUCUGGUGGGUAGUUUGACUGGGGCGGUCUCCUCCCAAAGCGUAACGGAGGAGCACGAAGGUUAGCUAAUCCUGGUCGGACAUCAGGAGGUUAGUGCAAUGGCAUAAGCUAGCUUGACUGCGAGCGUGACGGCGCGAGCAGGUGCGAAAGCAGGUCAUAGUGAUCCGGUGGUUCUGAAUGGAAGGGCCAUCGCUCAACGGAUAAAAGGUACUCCGGGGAUAACAGGCUGAUACCGCCCAAGAGUUCAUAUCGACGGCGGUGUUUGGCACCUCGAUGUCGGCUCAUCACAUCCUGGGGCUGAAGUAGGUCCCAAGGGUAUGGCUGUUCGCCAUUUAAAGUGGUACGCGAGCUGGGUUUAGAACGUCGUGAGACAGUUCGGUCCCUAUCUGCCGUGGGCGCUGGAGAAUUGAGGGGGGCUGCUCCUAGUACGAGAGGACCGGAGUGGACGCAUCACUGGUGUUCGGGUUGUCAUGCCAAUGGCACUGCCCGGUAGCUAAAUGCGGAAGAGAUAAGUGCUGAAAGCAUCUAAGCACGAAACUUGCCCCGAGAUGAGUUCUCCCUGAGACUUUAAGUCUCCUGAAGGAACGUU
RNAcentral lists this ribosomal RNA (2447 nucleotides) under Klebsiella pneumoniae. RNAcentral's name for it is "partial 23S ribosomal RNA". It matches the Rfam family "Bacterial large subunit ribosomal RNA", at positions 410 to 2839 of the family's 2925-position model. The record is from RNAcentral. Lineage: Bacteria; Pseudomonadati; Pseudomonadota; Gammaproteobacteria; Enterobacterales; Enterobacteriaceae.